ACAACAAAAAAUGGAUAUUGGGACACUUUAAUAGGGACAUUUUUUAUUUAGUGCCUCCAAAAUUUAGUAUUGAGGCACUUAGUCAAUUUCAUAAUAGGACACGACACUUCAAAAAAUCAAACCCAAACCCACCGCCCAAAUAUUCAUUUCAAUUUUCAUUUUUAAGGGUAUUUGCUACUCCACCACUCAAACCCACGACCCCAACCUUCAAAUAUCAAUUCCUAGUUCAGUUUGGUCCUUUGUCCUGAACCCGCCGGGCCGCUGCUCUCUCGGUCGGAGUCGCCGAGUCGGAACCCUUCGAUUGACGCCUCCCCUCGCGCCGUGCCGCCAGCAACUGCCUCCCCGUCACGCCGGCAGCAGUCUCCAAUCUCCAGUAAGAUACUAAUAUUCUAGAUAGAGAAAGAGAAAUCGGAAAGAAGAGAGAGAUGAGCUGUAAAUGUAAUUGGCGUAUGUCUGUAUGUAGAAUUCGUCUCCUACUUCUCGUUCCCUCUUCCAAUUUUCACGGUACCCACCAAUUUCACAACCAUUCACUCUUCUCUCCUUUUAUCUCACAAUUUUCGAUUUUUAUUUUAUUUUUCAUCACUAAUUUUCCAACCCUUCACGCAUUACUUAUUGCUGCGCCGUCGACAUCCUCCUGCUGCGGCGUCGUGGUUGGUGAGCCGCUGAUUUCUGCUGUUCGUUCGGCUGCAACAUCUUGCCUCUACUUUCUGCUACCUUCUAUGGUGAAGAGCGCAAUCAAUCACGGUAACUGGAUCCAAGUUAUGAAGGCAGGUAGGAGAGUCAUUCCAUCCACCAAAGACUUGUACAGUAGUUUCUUGGACCUUUCGGAUCUUCUAUGAGAAGUGGUUUUGUUGCUGGGAUGAGAAAAAAGGAUUGGAUGACAUGUUUUCCAUUUGCACCUCAAGACAAUGAUGUUGAUCCAGUGAAUUAUCUGCCUCCUCUAUAGAAGGUAAAACAGAUAUCAGAUUUUUAUUGAAGUAGGUGAACAAGGGAAUCAAAAUUCUAAACAAGAUUCAUCUCGUUGCUAUGCAAUUCUAGGGGAGAUCGGGUCAAUUUGGUUAGAGCUGGUAAACACCAGGUUAAUGUCUCCCUUAGAAGAGGACUUCAUGAAGUUGCAUUGAUUUAUUUAUUGUGUCUUCCAAGAAACAUUUUAGAAACGCAGUUUGAUAGCUUAUCUGAACUAGAGGAAUAAGCUGGUAAUGUAGAUUGAAUCUCUUCUUUCAUAAAUUCAUAUCAACUGAUGGGAGAUUUUAUAUAUCAGGUUGUUUUUCUUGUGAAAUGACCAAAUUUACUUGGUCUGCAUAAGUUGUUGCACAGAAGAACCUUAUGAAUCAUUGAAGGGUCAGCUGGAGUUACUGUAUGGUCAGAUGAUACUAAUUCUGCCACUUUUCAUGCCUACUCGUGUCUUUCCCUUGCUUAUGCUACUUGUCAAGCUGUGGCUUCCAUCUUACAAGAUGUUGCUGGCUCAGGAGUCUUAUUUGCACUAUUGAAUCAUUGAUGUGCAAACACAAGGUAACUGUUAUAUCUUUGCCUUUCUUUAGGGUGGUCUUGUUGCACAAAAUAGGGCAACUGCAUAUGGGAUAUUUUAGAUGAUGGUGUUGAUGAUUUGUUUCCCUGAACCUCACUUGCAUAUUACCUAACAGAUAUCAGGCUUCAAUAUGUUGCCUCUAUUUGUUCAAUUACUUGUCCUAAGACAAGACUUCUGGCAUAACUUCGUAGUCUUUUAUAAGUAGUGUUUUUUUUCCCUAGGCAGUGAAGACGUGCAAUAUAAGUUGUGUAUUCUUUUGGCUGUAACGUUACAGAAAUACUGCCAUCACAGAUUGAAAUGCAAUGCAUGUCAUUAGUCUUGUUAACGCCCAAAAAGCAUCUCUUCAUCCUGAAGAUAUACUGUUGCUCUCAACUUUAUCAUGUCCUCUGAAUCUUUCAGACUCAACGUGAUGAGUUGGAGGCAAAAAUUUUUGAGGAGAGAGCAGCACUUGAAGACAAAUACCAGAAGGCAAAUUUUUUUUAGGAGAAAGCAGCACUUGAAGCCAAAUACCAGAAAUUGUAUCAGCCUCUCGUAGAGUGACAUUAUUUCUCUUAUAUGUUGGUUGGUUGAUUUAUUCACUUGUUGGAAUAGAGGAGUGGUUUUGUAUGCGACAUAUUCUUCGUUUCUGGAUGCUUUGUUUUCUCGUUACAUCAACUGUGUACUUGUUUCAGUAUUUUCAUUGUAACCUUUAAUUUAUUUUGAAUGUUAGAAUAAGUGUUCCAUA
Long non-coding RNA from Salvia miltiorrhiza (redroot sage), 2252 nucleotides. RefSeq lists it as uncharacterized. Lineage: Eukaryota; Viridiplantae; Streptophyta; Magnoliopsida; Lamiales; Lamiaceae. The transcript has 8 exons. The record is from RefSeq and is a predicted model, not a curated record.